Unclassified non-coding RNA from Vulpes vulpes (red fox), 216 nucleotides. NCBI's taxonomy places the organism in Eukaryota, Metazoa, Chordata, Mammalia, Carnivora, Canidae. The record is from Ensembl.
GAGCUGUCUGUCUUUUCCAUCUGGGCUGCAGACUGAGCUGAGGAGGGCAGAGGCAUGUUCCAGGGCAGGGCACAUGCUGGACUUCGGAGGCCAGUGUGCAUAGAGAGUCUAGCCAUCCUCGCAAAAACUCAGCACAUGUCACAUGCUGGGGGGCAGAACAGCGGGUGUGCUGUCUGGAGGUCUCCUCCUGGAAUGCUGGUUGCCUAGCAACAAGAU